Molecule: long non-coding RNA, 2076 nt
Filed under: Homo sapiens (human)
Lineage: Eukaryota; Metazoa; Chordata; Mammalia; Primates; Hominidae
Description: long intergenic non-protein coding RNA 2552
Source: RNAcentral
GUUGAGAUCCUGCUUUCUCUUCAGAAUGCCAUCUCUAGGAUGCCAAUGGGCUGUGUCUACAGUACUAUGUAGGAAAGUGCUGCAAGAGUUCUUUCUGUCACCUCUCUGAAGACCUGGUUCAUAUCUGCAGCUGCAACUCUAUCCCUGAACUCAUCUUUGAAACUACCCAGAGAUAGACUGUCAAGAGCUUCAGAGCUUUACAACAGGAUCUUCCAAGUGCCCUGAGAGGUCCGCGUCACCUUUAGGAGCUGUAACACUCACCGCGAAGGUCUGCAGCUUCACUCCUGAAGCCAGCGAGACCACGAACGCACCGGGAGGGAUGAACAACUCCGGACGGGAGGAACGAACAACUCCAGACGCGCCAUCUUAAGAGCUGUAACGCUCACUGCGAAGGUCUGCAGCUUCACUCCUGAAGCCAGCAAGACCACGAACCCACCAGAAGGAAGAAACUCUGAACACAUCUGAACAUCAGAAGGAACAAACUCCAGACACGCCACCUUUAAGAACUGUAACACUCACCGCGAGGGUCCGCAGCUUCGUUCUUGAAAUCAGUGAGAUGAAGAACCCACCAAUUCCAGACACAGUAACACCAGUUAUCACUGAUUGCAGUUCAUCAUAACAGAUAUAAUAAUAAUUUAAAAGUUUGAAAUAUUAUGAAAAUUACCAAAAUGUAACACAGACACAUGAAGCAUUGGAAAAAUGGCACCAAUAGUGUUGUUUGAUGUAGCAUUACCAUAAAUCUUAGAUUUGUAAAUAACAAAGUAUUUGUGAAGCACAGUAAAGCAAAGCACAAUAAAAAUGACGUGUGCUUGUAUUUUAAAAGAACAGAUUGAAUUGGGAAGGGUAGUUGAGGAACUGGAAGCAGAGAGAACAGGUACAAGAUUCACGUAGUAGUCCAAGAAAAUUAAAGCAAGUAGAAAAACUAACAGAAGUUCAGGAUAAAAGAUUUUGAGGCCUUAACUACACAUUUCCAGAAGGAAUGGAAAAAGGUCAGAAAUGAGAAUGUGGAAAUAUCCUCAGCUGAUUUGACUGUAAGUAGAAAGUGUUGGCAUAAAAAAAAUGGACGAAGCCAAAAAACUCAUGGAAUGAUGAAUAAUUAAAUAAAUUGAGGUCUCCUUAUCAAAAACAAAAAUGAAGACAUGUAGAUAGAAAUUUAUAUGUCUUUACUCUGUAAAGCUGGGAGAAUACCCAGAAGGUAUUUAGGAAGUAUGUGAUAAAAAUUUAAGAUUGGAGUUAAUGAACCAGAGAUAGGCAUGAGACACAUAAUAGGUAAUAAUACAGGUUAGCUGGUAAGAUCUUUGGAGCACAGCAAGCUUGGAUUUGAGUUAGUAAUAAUAAUUAUGCACUGCACAUUUUAGCCUUUAUAAUUUUUCACUGGUUCUUCCACUUAAUAGGCAUCUUUUAACAUCUAUUAAGUGUAGGAAAAUACUAAGAGCUGGAGAUACAGCAGUAAUAAAUAAAGUUUAUUUAAGUAAGUGUAAAGUUAAUAAAACACAGUCCCUAAUCUCAUUACUCUUACACUGAGAGAUUUUCACAUUCAAAAUUUACUGAGCACCUAUUGGGUACAGAGGACUUGGAUGGGCAAAUGAAUACAAUAUGUCUCUUGCUGUGUUGUUGGAACAAGUGGAAUGCUGGGGACAUCCAAAGAAAGGAGACCACAUGGAGGAGGUGAUAUUGGAUCUUGAGGGAUGAUUAAGAGUCAUCAAACAAACGACAUUUAUAUAUAUAUUAUAAUAUCAUCUCCUGUAAUCUCGCUCACACCCUGUGAGGACCAAGUAAAUAUAUUAAAGAUGUAUUUCUUAUAGAAUAUUCUGAGCAAGAUGAGAGAAAGGAUAGUAUGAUAGCCCUGUCAGUCCUUGUAUUCCUCUCCCUAAUUUCACUGUUUUGUUGAAAGUGUUUGUUUGGUUUUUUUAAUAGUUUUUAUUUUGUAUUUAGCUCUAGACAAAAGAACAGUACUAUUCCUUGAAAACAUUUAUUCUUUAGGGAUAUGAAGUGGUAUGUUUGCCCAACAAAAUACACAAUUUCUAAAAUAUUAUGACUAAUUCAAGCAAAUGUAUUCUCUAAAGAAAAAUUUCC